GAUGAAGAACGCAGUGAAAUGCGAUAGGUAAUGUGAAUUGCAGAAUUCAGUGAAUCAUCGAAUCUUUGAACGCACAUUGCGCCCUGUGGUAUUCCGCAGGGCAUGCCUGUUCGAGCGUCAUUUCAACCCUCAAGCUCUGCUUGGUGUUGGGCCCUGCCCGCUGCGGCCGGCCCUAAAGACAGUGGCGGUGCCGCCUGGCCCUGAGCGUAGUACAUCUCUCGCUCCAGUGCCCGGUGGUAGCCUGCCAGAACCCCAACUCUCGUGGUUGACCUCGGAUCAGGUAGGGAUACCCGCUGAACUUAAGCAUAUCAAUAAGCGGAGGA
Molecule: unclassified non-coding RNA, 323 nt
Filed under: soil metagenome
Description: partial contains 5.8S ribosomal RNA, internal transcribed spacer 2, and large subunit ribosomal RNA
Rfam family: 5.8S ribosomal RNA (bases 1-120)
Source: RNAcentral